GAUGAACGCUGGCGGCGUGCCUAAUACAUGCAAGUCGAGCGAACUUUUGGGAGCUUGCUCCCAAAAGUUAGCGGCGGACGGGUGAGUAACACGUGGGUAACCUGCCUGUAAGACUGUGAUAACUUCGGGAAACCGGAGCUAAUACCGGAUAACAUUGAAGACCACAUGUCCUUCAAUUAAAAGGUGGCUUUUAGCUACCACUUACAGAUGGACCCGCGGCGCAUUAGCUAGUUGGUGAGGUAACGGCUCACCAAGGCGACGAUGCGUAGCCGACCUGAGAGGGUGAUCGGCCCCACUGGGAACGGGACACGGCCCCGACCUCUACGGGAGGCAGCAGUAGGGAAUCUUCCGCAAUGGACGAAAGUCUGACGGAGCAAAGGCGCGUGAGCGAAGAAGGCUUUCGGGUCGUAAAGCUUCGUUGUUAGGGAAGAACAAGUAUCGUUCGAAUCGGGCGGUACCUUGACGGUACCUAACCAGAAAGCCACGGCUAACUACGUG
This 498-nucleotide ribosomal RNA is filed under the name uncultured bacterium. RNAcentral describes it as "partial 16S ribosomal RNA". It matches the Rfam family "Bacterial small subunit ribosomal RNA", at positions 28 to 507 of the family's 1533-position model. The record is from RNAcentral.